AAAGCACUUUCAGUAGGGAGGAAGGUAGUGUAGUUAACACCUGCAUUAUUUGACGUUACCUACAGAAGAAGCACCGGCUAACUCCGUGCCAGCAGCCGCGGUAAUACGGAGGGGUGCGAGCGUUAAUCGGAAUUACUGGGCGUAAAGCGCAUGCAGGCGGCCUGUUAAGUCAGAUGUGAAAGACCCGGGGCGUUAACCUCGGAAAUUGCAUUUGAAACUGGCAGGCUAGAGUCUUGUAGAGGGGGGUAGGAAUUUCAGGUGUAGCGGUGAAAUAGCGUAGAGAUCUGAAGGAAUACCAGUGGCGAAGGCGGCCCCCUCGGACAAAGACUGACGCUCAGAUGCGAAAGCGUGGGGAGCAAACAGGAUUAGAUACCCCUGGUAG
This 382-nucleotide ribosomal RNA is filed under the name uncultured bacterium. Its description in RNAcentral is "bacterial SSU rRNA". It matches the Rfam family "Bacterial small subunit ribosomal RNA", at positions 427 to 793 of the family's 1533-position model. The record is from RNAcentral.